RNAcentral lists this small nuclear RNA (104 nucleotides) under Chelonia mydas (Green sea turtle). Lineage: Eukaryota; Metazoa; Chordata; Testudines; Cheloniidae. The record is from RNAcentral.
GUGAAACAUGCAGCACAUAUACUAAAAUUGAAACGAUACAGAGAAGAUUAGCAUGGCCCCUGCACAAGGAUGACACGCAAAUUCGUGAAAUGUUCUUAAGUGCU